RNAcentral lists this ribosomal RNA (2922 nucleotides) under Triticum aestivum (bread wheat). RNAcentral's name for it is "partial small subunit ribosomal RNA". The record is from RNAcentral. Lineage: Eukaryota; Viridiplantae; Streptophyta; Magnoliopsida; Poales; Poaceae.
AUGGACCAAAAUAUCCUUGAGCUAAUACUUGAGGGGAGCAUGAAGCCAAUGAAUCUGCCUUUAGAAACUUUACGGAAAAUCACUGAUGGGUUUUCAUCGGAUAGAAUAAUCGGUGAAGGUGGAUUUGGAACUGUCUAUAAGGGUGAUGUUGGAAAUGAAAAUGUUGCCAUCAAGAGGAUUAAGAGUGGCAUGACUAUAAAUGACAAGCUCUUUCGUCGUGAGGUUGACAAUCUGAUGGAGGUUAACCAUCCAAAUGUCGUCCGGUUUCUUGGCUUGUGUUCUAAUACAGUGGAGACACCAGUGAAAGACCCAGAAUCCCGAGGAUAUAUUUAUGCUGAGAUAAGAGAAAGAUUGCUUUGUUUUGAGUAUGUUAGUAAUGGAAGCCUCGAUACAAGGAUUACCGACGAAUUAAGAGGACUUGAAUGGGAUACACGUUACGGGAUAAUCAAAGGGAUAUGUGCUGGUUUGCAUUAUCUACACAUGGAGAAACAUAUUCUUCAUAUGGAUCUGAAGCCAGCCAAUAUACUAUUGGAUAAUCAAAUGGUUCCGAAGAUAACCGACUUUGGUCUAUCAAGACCCAUGGAAAACUCACAAACAAUGACAACAAACCAUUUUGCAUCACCAGGGUAUAGCGCCCCAGAAAACCUAUUUGGUGGUGGUAAAAUGUCCAUCCAAUCCGACAUGCAUAGUUUGGGCGUCAUAAUUAUCGAACUGGUCACGGGACAUAGGGGUACCCCUGAAUGCAAUAAUACACUCAGAAGAUGGAGGCACAGAUGGAAUAAAUCAGGGAAGGAAAUUCCACUGGAGUACCACCAACAAGUAAUAAAAUGCAUCGAAAUAGGGUCACUCUGCCAGAAGGAAAAUCCCUAUGCACGGCCUUUUAUAUCAGACGUAAUGGGCAAACUAUUUGAAAUGGAAAAUUUGAAUGACCACAGCUGGAAUGCCGACGAAUCAACGGUUGGCCAGAUAAAUCUGCCAACUUGGGAAGACGACAUGCUUGGAGUUGAGCCGCUUGAGUUACAGUUUGCGUAUAACAAGCAGGAGGACAUAUUGUCAUGUUUAGUUGAGCUAAGCAAUGAUACGGAUGGUUUCAUUUUCUUCGAGAUUCAAAAGAUCAGACCGUUGCCAUAUUCAAUAAAGCCAAACAAGGACAUCCUGAAACCACGAUCCAAAUGUUGCGUGAUAAUAACAUUGCCAGCAGCACACACGGCAGCACUGCAGUCCAGUACUAGUAAUAAGCGAUAUACCAAGGAGUUCGUGGUGCGAAGCACUAAAGUGAAUGAAGAUCUUUCAACCAAGAAUAUUAACCAAGACCUGUUCGAUAAACAUACAGAGGGCCAGCACAUCGAUGAGAUUCAUUUGGGGGCUCUUUCUGAAGAACCCCGCAGCCAAGAGACAAUCGACUUCUCAAGGAAUGAGGCCAUGGAACAACACACAAGCUCGGGGAGGAACCCAUUGCCAACACCGAUCGAAGCUGGGCUUGUGCAGCUGGCCAUCAAGAACAACACAAAGGCUUCAUCCGAGAAGUGUAACAAAAAGGUGAUGCUGGAGAUCAGCGGCUGCGCCACUACCUGUGACCGGCUGGGUCUUGACCUGGUGGUCGUCCUGCAUGCUAGUCGCAACAUGGACAGUGAGAAGAUGGACCAUGUGAAGAUGGCCAUGCGGUUUGUCUUGCGGAAGCUAAGCCCCAUGGACCGCCUCUCCAUCAUCACAAUUUUUUCUGAUUCUGCCGUGAAGCUGUGCCCACUGCAGCAGAUCACCGAGUCCUCACGGCGGAAGCUAGAUGAUCUCAUUGACGGCCUAAAAGCCAUUGGUGACUUUUACACCCACAUCAAGGGCGGCCUCCUGACCGGGCUCAAAGUCCUCACAUACCGCAAUGACAGCAGCGACCGCAUCGCUGGAAUCAUGCUCAUGAGCAACGACCAGCAAGCUGGAGGUGGUGGUGGUGCUACUCAGAUUAAUUUGGGCAACGUGCCUGUCUACACGUUUGGUUUUGGCAUGAACAGUGACCACACAGUACUCAGCAUGAUCGCCGCCAACAGUAUGGGAGGGACGUUCUCCCACAUCCGGGACCAGGACAUUGGCAGUGGAGGCCUGACAAUGGCCUUCUCCCAGUGCCUUGCCGGUCUGCUAACUGUCUCGGUUCAGAACCUUGAGCUGACGGUGGCACCUGUCGGACAUGAGUCGGAGAUAUUGAACGUGACCGCAGGAAGCUAUCCGAAGACGCAGGCCGGGGGCUCAGUAACAGUUAGGUUUGGCAACAUCUACAGCAGGGAAGUGCGCAAGGUCGUUGUCAACCUCCGCCUCCCUGCUAUCGGGAGUGAGCACAGUGCCGAGAUCCUAAAGGUCAUGUACUCAUAUGGAAGCAGAUCUGCUGGGAGGCAGAAGUUUGUCGUGACUCCUGAGGCGCUGACCGUGUGGCGCACCAGCGUGGAUGUCUCAGACUUAGAGGAGGAGGAGAAGCAGGUGGACUUAAAGAGGGAGGAGGCCCGUCUGAGGACGGCCAAGACAAUCAAGAAAGUGACAAACUUCUACGAUGGCGUUGUGCUGGCCCGUCUGCAGAAUGUCUAUGACAAGCUGCUGCUGGUGGAGUCCCGGAACAUGCCGGAGGAUCAGUUCAGGAUCGAGCUGCGGGAGCUCUUGGAGGUCUGCAAGACCCAUGCAUCCUACAAGGAGCAUGGCCGCGCAUACGCGUUGUCGUCCGAGUCUUCACACGGCUGGCAGCGUUUCGCUGGGAGGGGUGGUGACAUCGAUGCAAUGCGUCUGUUCGCAACGCCACGAAUGAACAAGUACCUGGAGCAGGCCAGGAAGUUCCACAAAGAACCGCGGAUGCCAGUGCCGUCAGCGGAUGACGAUGUCGAGGAGGAGAUCACUGAUGAUCCUAUGGUCAAUGUCGGCAGUAGGGACAUAAACAAACUAUGA